This 231-nucleotide ribosomal RNA is filed under the name uncultured bacterium. RNAcentral's name for it is "partial 16S ribosomal RNA". It matches the Rfam family "Bacterial small subunit ribosomal RNA", at positions 109 to 339 of the family's 1533-position model. The record is from RNAcentral.
AGUAACACGUGAGAAACCUACCCCAGAGACCGGGAUAACUAUCGGAAACGAUAGCUAAUACCGGAUAUCCCCUUCGGACCGCAUGGUCUGAUGUGGAAAUGCUCCGGCGCUCUGGGAGGGUCUCGCGGCCUAUCAGUUAGUUGGCGGGGUAAUGGCCCACCAAGGCAACGACGGGUAGCUGGUCUGAGAGGAUGGUCAGCCACACUGGGACUGAGACACGGCCCAGACUCC